UUAAUUUUCUAUAUCAUGAUCUUAUAAGUUUUUCCCUCAGUCCUCAUGUCAUCCUAUUAUCUUCAUUUACAGAUGAACAAAGAAGGUGUAGAAGGGUUAACAAGAUUUCACAUUUGGUUUGCAGCAGAGCCAGGAUUUGAACUGAGGCACCGGGUUCAACUUCUGAUGUUAGGCCAUCUGAUGUUAGAACCAGAGCUUUUCACCAUUACACCAUGUUGCAACUNCAAAAACAAAAACAAAUAAUUCUAGGAAGACUUGAAACAGGGGACAAGGCCACUAUAGAUCAAAGCAGGAUAUGUGGACUUUUUUUUUUUAAUUUUUUAUUGUUGGCUGUUCAAAACAUUACAUAGUUAGGAUAUGUGGACUUUUAAAAACUAAUCUUAGAAUUUGGUUGUUUACAUAUACCAAAUUAAUUCUUUCAUUUCUAGAAUCCUAGACAAUUGCCUAAUUUGGGGAAUGUUAAAAACCAACAUGCUGGGUCUAGGGGUUGAGGCUCAGUGGCAGAGUGCUUACGUUGCACAUGUGAAGCACUGGGUUCUAUCCUCAGCACCACAUAAAAAUAAAUAAACAAAAUAAAGAUAUUGUGUCCAUGUAUAACUAAAAAUAAAUAAAUAAAUAAAAAACAAAACCACCACCAACAAAAAAAAACACAUGUUGUCCCUAAGCGUUUCUUAUAAACUCAAAAAGAAGAGAAGGUACAAAAAUGCAAAGAUUAGCAGUUCGGAUUUUUUUCUGUUAAGUAACAGAUUUAAUUAUUUGGUGUGGUAUGGUUUCUAAAUUAUUUGCAUAUAUAUUUUCUCAUUGGAUGUCUAUAAUUACCAGUGAAUUAAAGGAGAGAGAAUGGAACUAGUAUUUAUUAAAGCACUUGCUAUGUUGCAGGCUCAGUACUAGAUAUGUUUAUGCAUUUUUUUUACUUGUUGAUGUAAAAACCCUGUUUCUGUGACUCAGAAGUUAAGUAAUUUGCUGACAAUCAUAGAGUUAGAUUUGAAAACAGAUCUCUCGAAUACAUAUGACUUAUUGCUUCUCAGGUAUAUUGAGUAUUUUCUCAAUUUUGUAGAAUGAGAAACCUUCUAAGAUCAUGCAUUUGUUCAUUCAAUUAUUCACUUCACAGACAUUUGUAUUUGUACUUUAUAUUACUAUAGACACCUUUUGAAUUUUUAUCUUGCAAAUUAGAUCACCACAUGAGAUAAUGUUUGACCUGUGAUUAAAACUGUUUUCUGACUUCUAGUCUAGUACUUCUUUCUUCUUGACUUCUUUCCUAGUAGAUUCUAUUCAUUUUUAAUGGGUAAUUAAGUAUUCUUUUUCAUACUACUUUCCUUUUCCUUUGUUUCAAACUGUGUGUGUGUGUGUGUGUGUGUGUGUGUAUGCCUAAGAUCUUUGAUCCAAAUCAUACUGUUUAAGAAUUUUUGAUUUAUCAUAAGUCAUCAUCGUCUUUUUUUUAAACCAGGGAUUGAACCCAGGGUUGUUUCAUCCCUGUGUCACAUCCCCAGCCCUUUUUAUUUGUUGAGACAGGGUCUUACGAAGUUGCUGAGGCUGGCUUUUAACCUGAGAUCCUCCUUCCUCAGCUUCCUUAGUCUCUGGGAUUACAGGCUUGCUCCAGUGCACCUGACUUACUACAUCUGGGAGAAUUAUCUUGUUAAGCAACAUUAUUGUUGUUGUUGUUGUUAUUAUUAUUAUUAUUAUUAUUGUUGUUGUUGUUGUCAGUGGUGCUGGGGAUUGAACCCAGAGCCUUAUGCAUGCAAGGCAAGAACUCUACCAACUGAGCUAUAUCCCCAGCCCUUGUUUUGGCUUCUCAGGAAGUUUUUUUUCACUCACGGGCUUGGACUAGUUGACUUUUUCUGGUUUAGCAUUGGAAAGCAAUAGGUUGGGAGCAUAGGGAAGUCUGGCCUGGAAAGAGAGAAAAACAUUCAUAUAAACUUAGUGCCUGACAAUAAAAAUGAGAAAAGUUCUGGGCUGGGGUUGUGGCUCAAAGGUAGAAUGCUUGCCUACUGUGUGUGAAGCACCAGGUUCGAUCUUCAGCACCACAUAAAAAUAAAAUAAAGAUAUUAUGUCCACCUAUAACUAAAAAAUAAAUAUUAAAAAAAAAGGUGAGAAAAGUUCUGAUCUACACAAAGCAGCCUGUACUUUGGAAGAGAAAUAGGUAGGGAUUGGGGAUGGAGAUCUGUGUUAGAACUCUUGCGUGUGUCAGGCCCAGAGUUCAGUCCCCAGCUCUGUCAAAAAAAAAAAAAAAAAGUUAAUUACUCAUAUCUGAUAGUUUUAAGUGGGUAUUUGAUUUGUAAUGUUAAUUGUUUACUGUAUAGUUACUAUGUGCUAAAGAAAUUAAUUUUCUAUAUCAUGAUCUUAUAAGUUUUUCCCUCAGUCCUCAUGUCAUCCUAUUAUCUUCAUUUACAGAUGAACAAAGAAGGUGUAGAAGGGUUAACAAGAUUUCACAUUUGGUUUGCAGCAGAGCCAGGAUUUGAACUGAGGCACCGGGUUCAACUUCUGAUGUUAGGCCAUCUGAUGUUAGAACCAGAGCUUUUCACCAUUACACCAUGUUGCAACUCAAACUUGGGGUGUCAAAAUGUAGUGUGCAUAGGAUGUUAAUUGUGUCUAGUCACAUAGGUUGUUAAAAAAUAUUUCUAAGCACAUAAAGUAUGAGUUAUAUAAAAUAACUAAAUCUGAUUACAUCUCAUCAAUGUGCUAGCCAUUAUAAUUUAAAUAAUUAUUAAAAUUGAUCAGUUAAUAAGUAUUCAUUAAGUGCCAGUCAUGUGCUGCGUAUUAGUGUAGGCCAAUGAAAUUCAAAUAGUAUUUGGAGGUAUCUUGUGACGGGUCUUGGAGAUACAUUGUUUGCAUAUUAUAUAUAUAUGUAUAUAUAUAUAUAUAUAUGUAUGUAUAUAUAUAUGUAUGUAUAUAUAUAUGUAUGUAUAUAUAUACACACACACAUUUAUUGAUAAUUUUUAUAUAUAUAAAAUUUGUGUGUGGGGGUGUAUUGUGUGUGGGGCACUUUACUACUGAACUACUUCAUUGGUCCUUUUAAUUUUUUAUUUUGAGACAAGGUCUCACUAAGUUGCUAAGGGUCUUGCUAAGUUGCUGAGAUUGACCUUCAACUUUGGCCUCUACCUCCUGAAUUGCUGGGAUUACAGGCUAUAGUAAUACUCUUACUGCAGUAUUUUCCUUUUCCCUGACUUCAUGACUUGUGAAAACAUUAUUGCUUUAAUGGCUAAUGGAAUAUGUAAUAGUAUAUUCUUUUUUCCUUUUUCUUUGAGAUAUAGUUGAUAGUAUCAUAAAAUUUAUGUUUAAAAAAAUACACAGUUCAAGCUGGGCACAGUGGCACACUCCUGUAAUGCCAGUGACUCAAGCUGGGUGUGGUGGUGUAUGCCUAUAAUCCUAGUGAUUCUGGAGGCUGAGGCAGGAGGAUCACAAGUUGGAGGUUAGCCUGGGGCAACUUAGAAUUUGCCUCAAAAUAAAAUUUAAAAAGGGCAGAGGAUGUACCUCAGUGGUAGAGCACUCCUGGAUUCAAUCCCUAGUAUGGCUAAAGUAAAACAAAACAAACAAAAAUAUCUCCCCCUAAAAUCACAAUUCAUUGGUUUUAGUAUCGUUGUUAGGUUGUGAAACUACCUAUGUAGUUCCAGAAUAUUUUUAUUAGCCCCAAAAGAAACCCUGUACCAUUAAUAGUUAUUGUUUAUUAUUUCCUUCCCCAAGCCUUUGGCAACCAGUAAGCUACUUUCUGUCUCUAAAGAUAUGCCUUUUCUAGACAUUUCAUAUAAAUUAAAUAAUACAGUAUGUGGCUUUUAUACCCAUCUUCUUUGAUUAAGCUUAAUAUUUCCAAGUCUUGGCCAUACUGUAUCAUGUAUUAACACUUUAUUCCUUUUUAUGGGUGAAAGUAUUAUAUUCUGUGGACACACUUUGUUGAUUUAUCCAUUCGUCAUUUAAUGGAUAUUGGGAUUGUUUCUACUUGUCUGUUAUGAACAAUGCUGCUAUGAACAUUGUUUAAAAGUUUUUGUAUGGGCUGGGCAUGGUGGCAUACACCUGUAAUCCCAUCGGCUUGGGAGGCUGAGGCAGGAGGAUUGCAGCUUCAAAGCCAGCCUCAGCAAAAGCGAGGUGUGUGAGGCUUCCAGUUUCUCUAUAUUCUUACUAUCACUUGAUAGUGUACAUCUUUUAAAAUAAAUUGUAGCAAAUCUAGUGGGUGAAGUGGUAAUUUAUGGUGGUUUUUUUUUUUUGUUUUUUGUUUGGUACCAGGGUUUGAACCCAGGGGUGCUUAACCACUGACUGCAUUCCCAGCCCUUUUAAAAAUAUUUUAUUUAGAGACAGGGUCUUUUUUAAAUUUUUUUUUUUUUAGAGAGAGGGAGAGAGAGAGAGGGAAUUUUAAUAUUUAUUUUUUAGUUUUCGGUGGACACAACAUCUUUGUUUAUAUGUGGUGCUGAGGAUUGAACCCGGGCUGCACGCAUGCCAGGCAAGCGUGCUACCGCUUGAGCCACAUCCCCAGCCCGAGACAGGGUCUUGUUGAGUUGCUUAGGGCCUUGUUAAGUUGCUUUGAACUUUCAAUCCUUCUGUCCCAGCCUCUUGAGCUGCUGGGAUUAUAAGCUUGUGCUACCGCACCUGGUUUAUGGUGGUUUUGAUAUGUAUUUCCAUAAUAAUUAAUGAUGUUGAACAUCUCUUAAUUUGCCUCUUGCCUAAUGUAUAUUUUCUUUGGAAAGAUGUCUAUUCACAUCCUUUGCCCAUUUAAAAAAUUGGGUUGUCUUUAAUAUUGUGUUUUAAAGAAUUCUUUAUAUAUUUUGGAUAUUAGAUCUUUAUUAAAUGCUUGAUUUGC
This 4789-nucleotide long non-coding RNA is filed under the name Marmota monax (woodchuck). Lineage: Eukaryota; Metazoa; Chordata; Mammalia; Rodentia; Sciuridae. The record is from RNAcentral.